UACGUAGGUGGCGAGCGUUGUCCGGAUUUACUGGGCGUAAAGAGCGCGCAGGCGGUCGUUCAAGUCGCGUGUGAAAGCCCCCAGCUCAACUGGGGAGGGUCACGCGAUACUGAUCGACUCGAAGGCAGGAGAGGGAAGUGGAAUUCCCGGUGUAGUGGUGAAAUGCGUAGAUAUCGGGAGGAACACCAGUGGCGAAGGCGACUUCCUGGCCUGUUCUUGACGCUGAGGCGCGAAAGCUAGGGGAGCAAACGGG
This 253-nucleotide ribosomal RNA is filed under the name uncultured bacterium. RNAcentral's name for it is "partial 16S ribosomal RNA". It matches the Rfam family "Bacterial small subunit ribosomal RNA", at positions 524 to 776 of the family's 1533-position model. The record is from RNAcentral.